This 38836-nucleotide long non-coding RNA is filed under the name Coffea arabica (coffee). RNAcentral describes it as "long non-coding RNA (CARA_LNC007552)". The record is from RNAcentral. Lineage: Eukaryota; Viridiplantae; Streptophyta; Magnoliopsida; Gentianales; Rubiaceae.
GUACGGGGCGUCGUGUUGUAUAUUUUGAAACCACUGAGGGUUUUUUUGUGUAUUAGGUUUACCACAUAGGGUUUUUUUGUAUUUUACCCUAUAUUUUAGUAACCCCAUGCUAAUAUGAUAUCUAGUCACUGACAAAGAUAUAAGCAAGUAGAGAUUUAUAGACAAGAAGUCUCUACUUUAGAAACAGAACAUCUAGCUUAAAAACAAAACAUAUACAUAUACAUAUAUAUAUAUAUAUAUAUAUAUAUAAAUAUGAAUGAGAUUAAUUUCUAGUUCUAAACCAGCCCUAUCCCUAAUCGUUAAGCUCAAAUGCUAGACAUGGUUUGUCAAAGGUAGCAAGCACAAAUAACUGAAAAGCUUGUUGCAUUUGGAGCCACAAAUUUCAAUUGCUCAAGCAGCAAAUAAGUUUCCAAAUAAUUGAAGAAACUAAGCUAAUCCCCCAUAUGUCACUUGUAUCAAGCAGCAAUUUGCUGUUUGAUCAUGAAUACAAUAAUUGACAUAUCAAUGAUUUCAUCAACGAGAAUAUUUAUUGCAAACAGCUAAGCAUACCUCCUUUAAACUUCAACUAAAGAAACAGGAGGAUUGUAACCCACAGCUUCUAGCAAACACCAUUUUCCCAAAAAAAAAAAAAAAAAACCCUUAGAACACAUAGUAUAACUUAAACGUAUACCUUAAAAUUCCCAAAAAUUAAUCAUAUUGCAGAAACCUAGGUGUACUUGCAGAAAAAUGGAAUACAUUCCAACAUAAAUGGGAUGGCAAGAAAUUUGGGUGGGGAACAAAAAGACAAAAGCGGCAUAUUGCAGGAUACUGUUCUAAGCAGACAAAUGGGCCAAAAUUCACAGAUAAGUGAGGCCCCUUGGAGCCCACUCUACAUCAAUCCAACAAGUCACAACAGUUCCAAGGGUAGAAGCCCAUAAGUUAACCAAAGCAAAAACAUUUUUUGUCUUGUCGACAUUUUGUAACAUGAAAUGCACCCACAUGUUGGGCUUGGGUCCUUUUUUGUUUUUCCAUGAAUUCAACAUAAUUUCAACGUUUCCAGCGUCUCCAUCUUCUUAGAUAGGACGCUUACAAGAAUAUUAUCAAGAUCAAUGUUGUAUUAAAUUUCAAUGUCAUAGUACUCGAUGUUGCUCUAUUUUAGUACAAUUUUACAUGCAGAUUACUAUAAAUUUUGAAAACCAUUUCCAUUGAAAAGAGAGAUACUUUUUAAAAUUAAGCGCACACACGUAGAAUGAGUUAAAAUGACUUGUGUUGGUAAUUACUAUGCAGAUCCAAACCUCCCAAAUUUAUGACAAUUUGUUCAUUUUAUUUUGUUUUUCUUAAGUACAAUUGUACAGUUAACAAUAUUUGUUUCACACUUGUAGUACAAUUGGUAACUAGUAUUGCGAUUGUAAACCUUGGAAUAUUUGUUCUUGUUUUAAGAAUUUAGCAAAUAAUGUUUCAGACUUAUUUGAGAUGAGGAAAAGUAUAUGAGUGUGUUUGGAUACAAGUUUUUUUUUUUUUUUUGCCAAAUUUUAUUUUUUUACAUCAUAAAUAUAUCUUUUAAUUAUAUUUUAAUACUAUGAAUCGUCUUUCUGUCUCACAUACAUCAUAUCACAAAAAAAUAUUAUAAAAUUAUUACAAGUAAAUUUUGCAAAUAAUCUCCUAUCCAAACAAGCCCAAUGGGUGUAUUCGUAGUUUGCUAGAAUUUAAAAGGCCACAACUUUGAGAAGACCCAUUAACUAAUUAAUAUUAGUGAUCGAUUGUGGGGUUGUAAUCUCCUAUUUGUAAAAUUGGGGAUCUCCUGUAAUGGCUCGGCCUGUCAAUCGGGCCUAAUGAGUCGGGCUUUGAUGAGUUCAACCUCAACUCAUUUAAUUUGAAACAUUUUCGGGCUUCAGGUUAUGAGUUUCGGGUUCGUAAAUAUGAAGCUCAUACUCAACUCACAAAAUAUUCGGGUUGUGAGCCUUAAUCGGGUUUAGCCCAAGCUCACUUUUUACUCCUUAAUUUUCUUAAUAUAAUUACUAUAACUAUUAUGUUGUAAAACUAAUUUAACAUUUACAAGACUAUAAUAUUAAAACUAAACAUGAACAAAUAAUAGUUCUUAAAAAGUAUAUAAACCAAAAAAUUUUUCAACAAUAUUUAUAUUUAAUCCAUUUAAAAUGCAUGAAAAAUAGUAAUAAAAUAUGCGAUCAUAAGCCAAUACAUCUUUAAAAGUUGAAACUUUUUUUAUAAUCUUGUGAUUUAAAUCCAAAUAUGUUUGAUGAUUUUUGUGUUUGUAGACCAAAAAAAAAUCAACCAAUAAUAUGCUAAUACAAAAAUUUACUCAACCAAUAAGAAAAAUUAGAGAUUAGUUAUGCAUUAUUAAUAUUGGCUCUCAAGAAAGAUCAUGAAAGAGUCUUUAGAUGUAUUUUUAUGUUUUGUAAUUUAUAUAUAUAUUUAAUAUUAGUAAAAAUAUAUUUGGAUAUAUAAUUAUACAUAAUAUCAAAAUAUAAAUAUUAUAUAUAUAGAUAAUUAAAGGGUCGGGCCUAUAUCGGAUUUGAGUCUAAUAAGGCCCAAGCUCGGCUCACAUUUAAUUCGGGCUUAAUUUUUAGGCUCAAGCUCAGACCGGCUCACUAAAUGAUCGGACUUAUCGGGCUUUCUGUCGGGCCGAACGAGCCGAGCUCGAGCUGGCCCAGCCCCAUUGAGAGUCCUACUCUUCUCAGAGCUGGAGAUCAUAUGCCCCACUAUUCAGCUUGGAGCUUGGAGGUCUUUGUAAUCCAUGACCUGCUGUCCUCUAUUAAUUUCUGACUACAAAACUUGAACCCCUAAAGUCAUGGAUGAUAUCUACUCACCCAAACGAGCUAUAAUGUUUCUUGUAUUGACCGUACACCACAUGAUAGUGCUUUUUCUAGAAACAAAACAAGAACUCUUAGUAACACAUCUGGAUAAUAAAAACAUAUACCCUGGAAAAAAAAACACUAAUGGGUCAACACAUAGAGAUGAAGGUUGAAUAUUAUUUGGAAAGAAUUUUAAAAGUCUGAUAUUGUAUCAGUUUUCUCUGAUGUGAAGUAUGUAAAAUAAAAAGGUAGAUUAAAAGAUGUUUAAAAAAGAAAAAAGACUAGUAAAUGUGUUUAUGAUUUAACAUAAGAAAUGUUUUCAAAUUACUCUCAAUACAAACAUGUCGAUUUCUUCUUAUUUAAGCAAUUUUCCCCCUUCUGUUUUGGUACCAUGCAUACUGAGAGCAUAUCUAUUGGAGGAAGUCAGGAGAAACUACAGAUAGCCGACGUCAAAACAUUGUUGCAGGAGAAAGUAAGCAAUUGCUUUGGAAGUAAUCAAAGAUUUGUUUCUGAUAGCCAAAGUUUUAGUAUUUACUUUUCAAGCUAGAGACAGACGGGUUUCUCCUUUCUGGAGGAUAGGAUCAUAGGAAGUUGGGACUGGAAUUUGGGGACGACCUGGGCAUUAGUCUACCCAUUACUCGGAUUUGCAUCCCAAAUAUGAAGUGAUAAGCAGCCACAUUACUGUGUUUCUUAAUCAUACGUUGACUACAGCUCAUCAUCAUCAUCAUCAUCAUCUAGUCAAUAAUACAAGAUGAAUAUUUUAAGGAUCCUUCUAUUCUCAUCUAGUGAAUAAUACAAGACUAAUAUUUUAAAGCAUCCUUCUCUUCUUUGCACCGGGGACUUAUAGAAUUAAAGAUGGUUUUCAAGUUUUUUUUUUUUUUUUUUGAAGUACAAGUGUAGUUUUGUUCUCAAAAAGGGCAUACAAUAUUACAAUAGUCGAUGAAUGGUUGGUUUGCUGGUUAGGGUUAAGAUUCUAAAAUUAAAAGUUCUAAAUUCAAAUUUUUUUCCCCUCUCCAUUUCUUAAAUCUCACGCCUCUUUGUGAACAAAAAUAUUUUGCAGUAGACUUGCUUUUGGUGUAUAAAGUCCUGUGCCCUAAUAGAAAUUUUAAAAAAAAAACAACAUAUUAUUUGUCUAUUCAUUGAUUAAAUUUCAAUUUGUAGGGAGAUACUGUCUAAGGAUUCUGAUCAAGCACACAUAUACGAAAAGGAAUGCGUGUAUCCAGACUGAGGUGGACAUUGAAGUAAAAAACCAGUGGUGCAAAGCAGUCCUUGGAGGCAAACAGCCUUCACAGCCGCACAAUCUAUGUACAUACUAAUAUUCUAAUGCUGGAGAUGGCAACCCUCCAUCUGCCCUUGGAAUAAAAUUUGGAAUAAUGAAUAUAUCUGCGUCAAGCAAUGACGCAAUCUGCUUCAACCGUUGCUUAAAUUAAAUGUCUACACACAAUCAAUAAUUAUAAGUAAUUAAUUAAGACGCUAUGAUAUGGGUUUUUUUGUGGUCAAUACUUAAAGAAGCGGACAUACUCUGAAUUCAUGUUCUUAAUGGAAAGCUCAAAUUCAAAUUCUUUGACUUGUCAUGUUCUUAUGUGUGUUUUUUUCCCUUUUUGUUUUGUGCCAAUGGGUGAUUCCUUGCCAUUAUUUUAACUUUUGUCUGCACCAACCUAAUUAACGUCUUUGAUGUAUGGUUUAGUGUAUUAAUCUUGAAUUGUAGUUAUCAUAGUUUGGAAAAAAGGACUCCCUAUUUAAGUGGAUUGGCUUAAGAGAUAUUGCUAGAAGAUCCCACAAAAGGGAAAAAAAAUGUAUAUUUAAAUCAAAGUUUGGCAAUUAGAAAUCAUUUUUUGCAUUCUCAAAGUCAAAUGUUGGUGAUUAACUGGUAGGAUUUUCCUUUAAAUUCAAAAGAUGCUGGAAUGAACACGUCAUAUUAUCCAUUUACAUCAAUCCUAAACUAAUGUCUAGGGAAUCAAAUUUCUUUCAUUCUUUCUUCGAGUCAUUGCUUCCACCAGAUGGAGAAGUUGGCAGAACAGAGCUUUGUCCACCAACACCAGGAGCUCCAUGUACUCCAUUGCUGGAUUGGACCAGCGUUGGCUGUAUGUGAACAACAAUUUGAACAAGUGAUGACACAACCUGGGAUGCAGAUAUGGGAAGAGAUAAUAUUUCUAUCACUGCUGUUUCAAGUAUCAGCUGCGUAUAUGUCCCAGGAUCUUGGAUUUGAUAGAAUGCUUUCUGGCCUUCAGAUGCAUUUGUUUGCCCAGGCUGUGCAGCUGCUUGAGUUUUAUUAUGUUGCAUCCUGGCAGAACUAAUGGAGACAUCUCCAGCAGGUCCAAGCUUUGAAGAGUUACUCAGAGGAGGAAUUACAUGAUUCGCCAGACCCAAUAACAGAGUGGCAAAGUAAUCCAGUGGUGGACAAAUAGAAGCAUUUGCUGAAUUAAUAUGCUGGGGAAAGGAUUCAGAAAAUGGAAUCUGAAAGUAUUACCGUUGCAGAGUUAGAGGAAGACUAAAGGAAGAAAUCAAAGAAAAAAUGAAAUAUCAUUACCUUCUUGACAUCUAACACACUCAAUAUCCGCAGGAUAAGCUUCCCAGGAAGAUGACCAUAGAAAUAUGCAAGUAUAUCACGAACAAAUGUGAAAUUUAAAGGAUAAUAAUGCAAGAAUAGAUUAUACAGCUGCAGAACUCUGUCAGCUGCAUCUAUAGCAUCGUUUUCAAUCAGUCUAUAUAUGAUUAGCGGAAUCACUGGUAGCAAACGUGCAGCAAUAUCAUCAAAAAAUGUGGGAAAUCUGCAAAGAAGAGUAGAGCCAUUACAAACCUUAGUCUACAAAUCCACUUGAAAUUACUAGCAUAAAGAAAUAGGAAGAAAUUGAAAUGCAAUACUGAAAAAAUAGUUAAGUGGGUUCGAAAUGACAUGAUAUCACUAAUCUGAUCAGCAGAUUCUGGUUGAAGCUGAUGGUAAAAAGACUAGGUUCACCAUAGUCAAUCCUUUACAACAUUCCCCAAAUGGGUGAAUAUCUAGGUUGGCUAGCUUAAAUUUGCGUAAUGCAAAUGCAUCAUGAAACUUGUGAUUGUACAAUCUAGAGUAACUUUUCCAGUUGACAUGAAGUUCAUCAUUAAUGUUGAUGAAUCCGCUGAGGUUUUACUUUAAUCAUUAGCUAUAAGUCUCACACUCUUACUUGAUUCACUUCCAACCCAGUCACAGAAUCUAGAGCUUAGCACCUUCAGCAACUAACAAUAAUGUCUCUCAGAGUAAAAGCUUCACCUUUCCUUCCAAGAGAGAUGAUUCCCUAGAGCUUUUUGCAAUUCAACACGCUUGAAAGUCCCGCUAAGAAGCCAAUGCUCAGGCUGGCCACGAUUCAUACUGUACAAUUUUACCCUCUGCUGGAGCUCUUUACUUUCCAGUAGACUCAUCUGAUUGCAUUAACACAAACAAUCGAAAAAGGGAAAAAAUUAAGUGAGGUUGUAAAUGGUUUUUCAUCCAGCAUUCUAUGAGUAAUCUGACAUAUAGAACCCAUUUAAAAUAAUUAACUUCCUUUGAGACAAAAUCAGAUUUGUUUAUGAAGAUUUCCAACAGCUUUUGAUGGAGAGGACCUGAUUCUCACAUUUAAGAGUAUAGUUUCUUCCUUUUCCUUUGACUAGAAAUUUACUUUGACAUACCAUCACAAGCAACAUCAUGACUAGUACAACUAGAAUACAAGUCAAGAUGAGUUCUGAACCAACAUCCCAAGAGCCACAGGAAAGUUGCCAUUGGCAGAAUUCAGGCAUUCUUGCACAGGCAAGAACAGAUUCUUCGGAAAACAGAGCCAGCAGGAGGAAAAAAAAUUAACAAUCUUGUCCCAGACCUUUCACUAACACCAACACGUUAAACUUUUAGUGGUCCCUCUUACAAUUAUGACUACUGCAGUGAAAUUUAAACGGAACAGGAAACUCAGCACACAAAUGCCAAUUUCAUUACAAGUGUUAGUGGCUGAUCUCCAUCAUCAUUUUUUAUUCAAACAGCAAAAAAAGGCAUAUAAGACAAACUAGAAUGGUGGGAGAUGAGUAAGAGCAACUUGAGACAGUCCAAGUUCUUGAACGAAACCAUUUGGUGAAGAGGUGCAGUUCAAACCAUGAAAGUAGCAGUGUAUGAAAAAGUUGGACCUAGAGGAAAGUGACUAAAAAAAUCCAAGGACUCAGACAGUCUGGUAGAUGAACAGUAUUAAAGUACGAGAGAAAUGAAAAAAUAUGCUUUAUCUAAAAGAAGAGAUGGUGGAAGUCUCCAGAUGGAUGGAAGUUCAUCACAUCCACUUAUGUAAAUCAUUUAACUGGAUUGGAUGGGGUAAAAGUUCAUUACAUUUGUCUUUGUAAUUAAUCUUCCCCCAUUCAAUGGAAUCAAUCUUCUGCAUUUUUUAAAAAAAAUGGUGGAAGUGUCUCCUUUAAUCAGAAUCAGCUGCCUUCAGAAGUCAAAAUUACAAUAUAAAUUUUUUUUUUUUUUAGAAGUUCCAGGAAGAAACAGUUUAAAACUAAAAGCAAAGAGAAGAAACUAAAAAUGUUAUUCCAGUAAAAGAAGAGUAACAUAGGCCUUGAACAUUGAAUUCUAUUCAACUAGGCCAUAUGCACACGUCCGUCUCCAAAGGAAUUAACCAGAACCAGGUGACAUCACAUAAGGAGUUAUUCACCUAUCUUGGCAUUAAAGUCAUCAAAACUUUCAGUCCAAAGUAUAACUUCACAUGUUCAGCACAGUGUGUUUAAAGCUAUAGUACCUGAUCCAGAUUCACCUUUUUAUUGAGUUAAAGAAUGUUAACCCAACAAUAUGUUCAUCCCUAUAAAAACAUUUCUCAGGAAUACAACUUGAAUUAGCUCUAUAACUAAGCCAAGACAGAAAUCAUAAACUAUUAUUGAUUCAAGUUGGCUAAUGACAGAAAUCAUAGAAUGAGAAGUCACAUCACCAUAAGUUAUAGUAUGUUGCCAAUUAUGAGCUCUAGUUUUACCCAAAAAUGGAUAUCUAAACCAGAUUAGUCACAAAAAUAAACAUCAAUACUCGAGAGCAAAAUAUCAUCCCAUAUCCUUAGUAACCGCCACUGUCAAUGUCAUGGCUCGAUAUACAAAUCAGAAUGGUCAUCUAGCAAAUCCAAUCCAUAUCAUGAUAUACAUACACAGAAACAUGUAAAUGCAUCAUUUAGUAGUCAGAGUAUGUUGACAGACAAACAUACCACAAUCCGCAGAGAAUGUGGAUCAUCAUCACGGUCUAUAAGCGCCAACAACAAAAUGUCCAGAGGCAGUAGCUCAUGGGUCCAAAUAAAAAAAGAAAGGUUUGCACAAGCUUUUAGCAUAAGAUCCUGAAGGAGGAAAAAUGGAAAAUUAAGCUCAUUGAGUAAAAAUUUGCAUCGCCAACAGAAAAAUGUCAACGGAAAAGAUGAUGAAAAUAAAGCGAAGCAAGCUGAUAGAAAAACCUGUGGGGAAUGUCCACGCUGUAGUUCCAAGUGAAUGUGAUGCAGUAGCACAUCCACCAUUGUGUAUAUAUUUGCAGUUACUUCUUCUGGAGAAAAUUCUCUUAAGACACGUCCCUGCAUUCCUUAGUAUGUGUUAAAUGGAGAAGAUUUAAUCAUAAUAGGAAAUACUGCCCAUAUGAAUGCUAAAAUUCUCCAUCUUAACCAGAAUGAUGGAUCUAGAAAGGGAGCUAUGUCUUACAAGAUUAGCACUGUUAAUGCUCUCAGGAUGUCCAUGCAUCAGCACCCAAGCACCAGCACACAGGUAUUGACGAUGUUGAGGGAAGCUAUGGCUUAUGUAAGUAACGACAUAGGAAGGAUCAGCUGACGGUGAAAGAAGCUGAGUGCAUUGGUUAAUCACUGUAGUUUCGGCCUGCCAAUAUUGAAUUUAAGUAUCAAGUCCCAGGAUCCAACAAAAAGAUAUAACUAUAUAUCUCUUACCUGUAUGUACUGGAUUUUAGUUGACAUUUUAGCCCAGAAAUUCAAAAUUCUAAAUAUGCAGUCAAUGAUGCAGUUUCACUGUUAGAUUCAAGCACAAAACUGUUGGCUUGGAAUUUAAAGAUAAUGUCAGCUCAGACCCUUUUUUAUCCUGUCUGGCACUUAAAAACUUAUAAUACGUUGAAAAUACUUAUUUAGUGUCCUCCAAACUUGAACACUGGAUUAUCACUUCAACCAAUUGCAAGUGUAACAACAGCUGCAAGUGGGGCAUGAAAAAAUAUUUAAUAUUUAUUUGUUAAACAAGUAAAACACAGAGGAGGAAUUACAUUAAGUAAAGAGUCGAACAAGAAAUAUAAGACUUUGUUUCAUGUAAAUGGGCUUGAUGACAUAAAAACUUGCAACAGCAUUGGAAUGCUGCAAAAUAUUCCUAAAACAAUGCCCAUCCCACCUCAUUGAUGUUGGGGGGGAUUAAUUGUGUUUGACAAGGAUCAUUUCUUUUGUCUUAAUUUUACUAGACGCCAACUUGUUAGCAUGCUUUACAGGAGGAGAUAACCAUAAAACUUUGAGAAGCCAUAAUUUCACCAUGAAGUAGUUGUGCCUUGUUCCAACCUCCUAUCCCAAAUUCACAAAGCAAUCUGUUCCAGGAGAGAAUUCAUUGAAUGCCGAGACUAGUCUAACUAAAUUCAGAAACAAAUGAAAAUUUAACAGCAGCAUAAGGGACACAAAAUAGUAACUUUUAUGGAAAGGUUUUCAUCAGUAAGGUGGAACCACUGCCAAAUGCAACACAUACACUGUCAUAUAGCCUGUAAAAUUAAAGGAAGGAGGAAAGAUGCAGUUUACCUGCUGCCAUGCUUGGAUUGCAAGGCCUCUUUUAUCCAUCCUCCCGGCCAAGGCAUCACGUAGGACAGAUGGAAAAUAACGCAAAGUCUUCUCAGACCAAGCAUGCUGACUAGUUGCCAAUAUUUGCUCCAACAUUGUUGGAAGAUAUAGCAAAUGAUCGAAGUCUGUAAUGCCACGUGUUUUAAUAAUGAUCGCCAAACUAGUUAUUGCUAUUCGGUUUAAAGUUUCGGUAAAGUCGGUUGGACCCUGCAUAAGCUUACGUAGUGAAAUUAAGUUUUCCUUUAGCAAAAAAAAUUAUGAAAUCACUCAGAGCCAUAAUUCUUACCUUCCCUUCCCUCUUCACAAGAAAAAACUCCUUCAAUGAUAAGAGCAGAUUCAUGCACAAAUUUUCCCCCAAUCUGAAAAUGCGAUGAUCUCCACGUUUCCCUUUUAGCGAAGAAAUCAUUUUUGUGAUGUCAUACAUCAAAUUUUUGCUCUUCCCUUGGUACCUGAAGAAUUAAACAAUGAAAUUUUUUCCUCAUCACCAUUUAAAUGGAUUUACUCUGAGAAGCUCAACCAGUGGUAAUCUAAACCAGCCCAGAGUUUGGAUCGAGAGAAGAAAUAUUCCAUUAUCAUGAUGAAUGUCAGCCUAUUAUCUAUUAUUUUUUUUAUAAUCUAUUAGUUUUAGUACAGUAAAGUCUUCUAGUUUCUUAUAAGUAGCGCCAGUACAGAAAGGAAAAUUGCUACCAAUCAAAAGAAGAAAACAGAAUUAUACACAGGCUGCUUAAUCACCUGUAAAGUGAAAGAAGGCGGUAGUUCAUAAUCUCAAACAACAGAAUGGAAGCACCAGGCUUUGUCAAAGUAGCAGUGUUCCUUUGAGUCAAAUGCUGUACUUGGCACAAAAAAAAUGAAAUGGUAAGUUAUAUAAGAAACUGGGGGAAGAAAAAAGAAAGAAACAGAGAGAAUGUCAUACAAGAAGCUAUCAUCCACUAAGCUUACCUACCCAAAGAACAAGAAAAGCUAUCAUCAAGACAACAUACUAAUCAAAGAAAUCCAGUAAAAGUUGUUAUGAUGUGGACGAUCUGAUUAUAAACAGAACUAAGGUAGAAAUGCAUUCUGAAAUUUGAAUCACCAAGCAAAUAAAAUGUGAAAACUUUAGAGGUCCAAUGUCAAGUUGGUUAAACAAUUGCUACCUAGAAUUAUGGUUCUCCACCAAUCCAAGGCCCAGACCCAAGCACAUCCAUCGUUAGUUCUUCAAUCUUCUAGUCUAUGUGGUUUAUAGCCAGGGAACCUUUUUGUGUUUAAAGUUCCACCAACUUCAAGUUGGCCAGCUACAACAGAAUGUUAUUUCACUAUAAACUCAAAGGCUACUAAACCACAGUGCUCCUAUGAAAAGGAAUUGAGAAGCUUAUGGUAACUGUUUACCUUCAGAUAGAUUUCUACCAGACAGAAGUUGCUAUGAGAAUAAGAACUAGUUAUUAAUUUCUUUCAAAAGUCAGGUCAGAUAUGUGUCAACCCUAUAGAUCGGAUAUCGUUUCCUCUAUGUCACCCUAACCAAGGGCCUGACAUUAAUUCCAACUUGUUGGAACUGAAUCCUUUCCAGAGGAACUGGCUUUCCGGCUAUGUCCAUUUAGGAAGCAAGAUAGCAUUAAUCUUAUCUAAUUAUCUGGAAGGCGGAACAGCAGAAACAAUAGAACUAGCUAUUUUUCAGAUAGACCACUUCCAAUAAUCUACAUUGCGAGGCUGUCAUCUUGUUUGUAUCUUUAGAGUCAACUUUAUUUAACCUAAGGCCCAUACAGGCUUCCACUUCUUUAGUUCCAUAAUAACAUUGUGCUUGAACUUUUCAUUAUGAUUCUAAUCUUCAACAAGUUCAAAAUCAUCCAACUCUGAGACCCCAGAUUUACAUAUGGGCAUCUAAGUACUUCAGUAAAUUCUGUUCCCAUCCUUGAGGUCAUCUCCAUCACAACGAUCUAGUUCCCCUUCCAAAUACCUUAAGAAACUUCAAGUACUAUGGUAUUUAUACCCAUCAGUGAUGCUGCCACGCUCAAUGUGACUGCAGUUCAAAAAUUAUUGACUUUUUUAUGAUGAAAAGUUUAAAUUAAAUUAGUAGUGUCUAUUUAAUAAGCAUACACAAUUUUUUAUAGCAGUACGUGUCAGAGAUAGAAAACAAAAAUUCUCUUCAUUAGAUAGGUAGUCAUAUAAUUAGAGAGUUAUUAUUCUAUGGAUGAUUUUUUUUUUUUGUUGAAAGUCAUUUUUGGAGUUAUAGCUUAAAGAGAGGAACUUUUAACCAAAAAAACAAAACUAAAAAGAGAAGAGAGACCCUCAGAUCAAACCUUUCUCUCCCUUCAUUAAUAGUAAGAUUCAAUUUCUAUCAUCCCAUUCAGCUAUAGCAUGACAUCAGCAAUCUCUUUCCUGCUUUUUUAAUUUGGUUGCAAUCGAGGGAAUGUAGAGCUCCAAAUUAAACAGACCCCAGAUACCAUAAAAAUCUAGGAUAGCAGAAGAGAGAACAUAAAAAUGAAGAAAACUUUCAUCAUCAUCUUCUUCUUCUCCUCUUUUUUUUGUUAAACUUUUUUUAGAAUCUUAAGUUUACACAUUAUUGCAAAUAUAUGUCAACAUAGCCAAAUUUCCAUGGUAUAUUACGCUCCAAAGAUCCAACAAGACCCAAAGAAGCCCAGUUAAUAAGGAACCCUGAUUAUACAAAAAUGUUUUCCAUCUUAACAACAUUAAAUUGAAUCAGAAGCCACAUAUCAGAAGUUAAUCAGGCAAUCACCAAGUUAGAAAGCAACUAUAUAAAUCUAUUCUUUAUUGAAAAGGAUUUCUUGGCCUCCACUAACGUACUACUAAUUCCUAUUCAUAAGAUUCUUUUACUAUACCAAGAAAAAAGAAGAAAAAUGAAGCACAUAAAAGAUAAUUGAAUGGUUAUAAUGCAACACUGUAAAUUGUUGCAGUGUCUCUGUUAUUUUAAAUCGAACAGGACCAAAUUUAGUCAGUUACCAAUUUAAGCAUCCCAUACAUGAAACCUAAGCUUAUGUCUUCAUUCUAUGUUUAGCUUUUCCUGAUAGCAAUGAAUAAACCUCAACUAUCCUCAAACGUGCAACUUCAGAAGAUGCAAAACAAAACAUCAACAAUUAGUUCACAGAAGAGAAGAUUCAGUUGUACAAAACUGGAAUUGAACUUAUGCGGUACAAUCAAUAAUAACUAGAUUGUCACUGAGUCCUUCACGGUGAUACAAUUUUCUUCGUUUAGUAAAUAAAUUGAGGUAAUAUGUAUGUACUAUUCCUCAUUGAACAAAUCUGUACUGCUGAACUAUAGAGUCAAAAUCAGAAAAGUGGUUUAUGAAAAUGUAAACAGCAAGUCAAAAGGAAACGUAAUUACAGUUAAGUGUGGACGGAACAAUGAAUGAGGGACAAUCAGCAGCAAUCUACAGUAUGUUUCCACCAUUGCAAUGUUUGGGAUGACCUGCAUCAAAAUCCUAAAGUCACAAAAAAAGAACUACAAUUUAUAAUGUACUCAUGGACCAUUAUUAGAAAGAUAAUUCUAUAACAACGUUUUGAGACACUAACACUCAAAUGCCACAAGCACCAGAAAAAUAGUAUUCCAUCUGUCCCAAAUCAAAUGUCUUGCCUGGCCCAUUGCAAAACUGAGUCCACUUUCCAUAAAUGGAAACUUGAAAUUCCAAAAUCCUCUUACCAUCCACAUACUUUUUAUACCUACAACUACAAUAAGGAACCACAUAUUCCCCAUUAUUCAUACAUUUCAAAUUACCAAUGCAGUAAAACCCACAUGUCUACCACCAGCUGCUUAUACUUAAUACUUGUGCCACAUUAAAAGUAGGACAUUCAAUUAGGGAUAGAGGGAGUAAUCUGGUCUACUUCUUAGUAAAGUAGGCUACCAAUUUUAUUAUAACAUGUCAAAUAGCAUAAGACAAACAACUUUUUUACAUAAAUGAAAAGAAAAGAAGAUGAGACACCCAUACAAUGGAGAAGCACCAAUUCUUUGCAGAUUCCCAAAGAUAACCUCUUCUACUUAUACCCUUGGCACCAGUUGCUCAAAUUUUGAAUAACAUCACUUAUGUAUAAUGCUUGACUUGUCAAACCUGAAUUUACCCUAUCCAAGGAAAUAGUUCCAUAAAGGUAGGAGAAAGAAGGCAAAAAACUAGAUGGUUGACCUGUCCAUUAAACAUAGAUUCUUCCAUCUGAAAUGUCAAUUUUAGGCAUAGGUUUAUGGAGAACCCCGAUAAUAGUGAUAUUGGCAGUGGACUAACUUCCCGCAUCACUGCAAUUCGCUCAUUAGCCUGCAGAUUUGACCCUGGUAACAGCUCCGUAACUCCAGCUGAUGCUAAAUAAUUCAUCACUGAUUCACAAGCUGGCUGUGCCAUGGUGUAAGACACGACCCAAAACAUACCAAUCGAUCUGUCAUCCAUAUUCAUAUAAUCCAGAGUCCGCUCACCUGAAAUUUGAUUACAAUAUGACCAAAAAAAUGUUAGAAGAGAAAAAGAAAUAAUCAAAGUAAGUAAAAUUAAACACUUCAAAAUGUCAAAUGGAUGGUAAGUCAGUCAGUAAACGAAACAAGUAUAAACAUUCUUACUUGGUAAAGUUUACUAUUUGCAACAAAUUUCUGAAAAUAAUGGAAACAGAUGGUACUUAAUGUUCCUGGAUAGAAAUCCAAAGGGUAUAGCAACCAAAAAAAUCUAGUAAAACAGCAAACAUGUAUGAAAAUAAAAUUAAAAAAAAAAUACCAAGACGCAUCUCUUUAAAAAAAGAAAACUAUAAAAAGAACAGACAGAGUCACUUUUCAACCAAUGACUCAGCUCUUCAAUAAUUUUAAAGAAGAUUUCAUUUGAUCAAGGAUGAUUAAGUCAAAUUUUCAAAGAAGGACACAUUCCAAUCUCAAUCCCCCACCACUACUCCCAGCAACAACUGGUCCAAUUAGGUGAUUGUAGUACAGUAGCAUAUUCUCCUAACAAGACUUUGCCAUGCAAUUUUGUCUUUCAUGAUCGCAGGAGCUACAGCUAAAAGUUAUAGACAUGAUGAACUUUAAAAACUUCAAGUAAAGUACAAGUGCAUUCUUGAUCUGUUCACUACCUUUAGUUGUUUGUCUCCACCAUUCAUCGAUUUGCUUUCCCUUCUGAAGCUGCUCAUUGUUUAGGUAUUCUCUGGUUGAUGUAUUCAACGACCAAAUCCUCAAGUUCUGACAACUACUUACGAAGUCAAGCAGGAUGCUUUGGGGAUUAUUUGGGUCAGAACUUGCCUCUUUAUGAAAUGAGAGAAUUUUCCUCGUAAUCUCAACCUGCCAGCAGAAAGCGGUUUACGAAAUAAUAUAGAAAAACACCCUUAAACUAAAGGUCGCAACAGGUUCUCUCAUGAUCAUUGGAUUAUACUACUCAAUCCACUCGACCAUUUGACUUAUGGCAAAUCUAUCCAACCUUUGGCCUACCUCUCGAUCAGCAUAUCACAACCAUGAUACCUAAGCCACCCACUACUCUUUCUCUUCUAUUUCCUUUACCUUUGAACCCCAAAGAACUUCCCCCAAACCCCUCCGCCCCUAAAAGUCCGAAAUCAGAUUUCUCCUGUACACAUGACCAUCAUCCUGUUACAAGCUUACUAAGUGCUCAACUCAAAGGGAAAAAGUACUCAACUCAAAGAACUAAUGUCCACCCAACAGUAAGGAUGCCAAUAUUCUAUUAUGCACUCCCACCCUCUGGUAUGUAUGAAUGAGGAUAUCAAAAUUACCUCUCAUGUGCUUUUGCACAUAAGAUUAGUACCAUACAUGUUUUGAACAUUUGUAUUUGGGCAAAUUCUUUUCUUCCUUCUAAAAUAGACCACUAGACCAGGGCAAAUUAAAGAACUACAUUCUUAAAAAAUCAUAAUCAGAUCAAAUUAGGAUUCAGAUAUCCGCCGUAAGAAACUUUCUACAUCUAGAUUUCACAUGUCCAGGCUUAAAGACUUAAAUUUCAAAAAAAAAUGAUGGGAGAAUCAGAGUGCUAACUCCUCUAAACAAGAAAAAAGAUGACAAGUAGACAUUUUCAAUAUUAAGAUGAAUAAUAAAUACAUUUUUCGAAAAUAAUCAGAGCAAGAUCAAUGCAGUCCAUGCAUGGAAUUAAGACAGAAGAAAGCUAAGUGAUGGAAUUAAGACACAAGAUAGCCAAGUGAUGGAAUUAAGACACAAGAAAGCCAAGUGGCUCAAAAGUUUAAGACCACCUUUCUUGAGUCUGAAUUUAAAGCAUUCAUUACUAGCUCAACCCGAAUAAUUUGGGUAAGCAACCAUGUAACGUGGUUUGUCCUGAGGAUAUGCUGAUCACCAUCCUGAAGCCGAGAAACCAAUUUGUCCACAAAGUCAACAAAAUCAAGACAUCCGUUUUUCGCGAGAAAAAAGAAUACGUCUGAAAAGGUAAGCCACUCUUGCCAGCAAUUUAUCUCUGCCAAAUAAAGUUAGAGCAAGGCAAAGUUAACAAUUGGAAAAGAAAAAGAAAGAAUAAGGUAUUUUGAAAAAAUUCAAAACAAAAGCAUAAAAAAGAAGAAACUAAUAGAAACAAUUUUCAUUAGAUGUGGAAGGUGGGGAAACUAUCUACAAAUCCUAUAUUAUCAUUCAGGUGCCAGAGAUUUGCUAACUGUUGGCUAUAGAGCCAUUUCAUAUAAGGACAGAUAAUUCACAUCAUUCAUACUGCUGACAUGGUAAAGUAAUGCAACUCCAAUUCCAAUCUUUUGUUUCCUUCCCGAAACAUUUCUUUAGGUUCAUUGUAUAGGAAAAUCAACACUACAAGUAUCAUGCUGGAGAUCAAAUAGAUGUAAAAGUAGCCAUCCAGAGAUCAGGACAUGCAACUGCAAGCAUAAAAACAAAGCUAACGGACAGAGAUUUACAAAUUGCAGAAAAGUCCCCUUCCCACAACUCAUAAAAAACUAAUGAUCAGUAUCUCCAGUUCAUCGCUUCAGAGAUAAACUAACAGCAUUUCUAUCAGUAAAGUGCUUCUUUCAUGUACCACAUGAUGUUGUGUUGAUCCCAGUUUAAAAAGAGAAAAACAGGUAUAACAUCAAGGAUGAGAAUAUUGCCUGAAUUUGUCAGCUUCAAUAAUUCAGCAAUCCGAUCAAUUGUAGCCUCACUAAUCAUUUCAGCAGUAAAGACAGCACCAGGAGUUGGUGCUUGAGCUUGAAGCCUGUAACAGGGAGCUAGAAGAAGCACACGCUUCCACCAGUCAAGUGAUGGUGUAUUACGAAGAGCAUGUCUUAUGCAACGAAGAGCACGCUCCCAGUCCAAAGUUCCUCUCUGAAUGGAUACUGCAAUAUCCUAAAUCGAGAAGCAAAAUAUUGAAAAGAAAGAAAGUGUUUCAACUCUCCUAAUUCAGUUUCUGAAGACAAACUAUUCUACAAUUAUACAAGAAAACCCUAUUGACAAUUCAAAACUUGACAGACAACCCUCAUGGAAAAGUCCAGUUGAAUCUAAGUGUCUUUUCUUGUUUCUUAUUUUGUCUGACAAUUCCAGUUUAAAACAUUAUCUUAAAACAAAGACACCUCAUUAUGGCACGUAGUUUUGCAUGCACCUUUACCCGUUUUACCCUGGAGUAUAAAACACAUAGCAAGUAAAAAAAUAAUAAUGGAAAUAAGGAAUCCACAUUUUAUAUAAAAACAACUUAAAAGCAUCUCAGAUAUAUUGUCAAUCAGUUUUAGUUGGCCUUUCGUGACCAGUAUUGUCCAACCAACUAUACCAUCAAGUGUGUUUUUUAAAAUGGUCAUCACAGAAAAUCCAGAACCAUAAUCUUCUCAAGAAAUUAUCUACUUACCCAAGUAAAGUUGUAGGUUACAUAUUUGUACAUUCAAGUUCUUGAAUAAACUUCAAUCAGUUUAACACUUUAGAAGAGUUCAUACAGAAGGCAAUAAGCUAUUAAGCAAACAGAACAUGAGGUCAUCAAAGUUCAUCAUCAUAGGAAAGAAAAGGUCAUUAUUGAUUACCUCUCCAUGCAGUGGUUCUCCAAGCACACUUGGGUAUGUAAUUGCUGGAUAUCUCAUGUGAGUUGCUGCUUCACCUGAAAUGUUAUUCAUCGCCUGAGGAAAAAGCCUAGGAGUUCCAAAUGUAGGACAAUGAAGAUGUUGAUCCAACAUUUGCAUGUGCAUGGCCAUCAUAUCUCGCCUUUUGUGGAUCUCCAAAAUAAGUGUGAACAGUGCCUCAUCAUCUGGAAUAUUUUCUAUGACCUGCAAGUUACUUCGCACAAGUUCAUAAAAAGGUAUACGGCAUUUAUCAUCUUCGACUAACAGCCAUAUCACAUCUAAACAACUAUGGAGCCAUUCAAUCAGUGCCUUGUCAGGUUUCCAGUAUCUUGCACUGUCAAAUUCAUCAAUACCCUGCUGUUUUUGGUCCCAGUUGAUAAUCCAAUUUAACAGAUGAGAGAAAACAUCAGCAUGGGUAGAUGGCUUUAGGUUAAAUUUUAGGCCGAUUAAGAUUAUCUUGCAACACAAGUGGCGCAAGUUGCUCAUAGAAUUGUCCCUUGUAAUUAAGUUGAUUCUUGAAUUUGAUUGUUGACCGCCACCAACAUCAGGGGACUUCAUUGGUGAUUGUUCUGCAACUGAUUGAGCUGGGGAUCCAAUACAGUGAACAGAAGGCAGAGGAGAUGCAGGACUUGAUGACUGAAAAUUGGUGGGAUUAGUAACCGUGCUGGAAGGUGGCAACACCCCAGACUGUGUUAAAGUCGCAGAAGACACAGUAGCCCCUGAUUGGCUUCCUUGACUGAUUGAAACCUCCACAGAAGAAACUGAAGAGAGAAGAGAUGGCAAAAAAGUAUCCCAGUUUAUGUAACUUAUGCUAGAGAGACUGUGCAAUGCAAAAAGAAGAAAUUCUGCUCGGGGUGCGUGACUUCUACACUGAAUAACCAGAGAUAUAAGAGUAGAUUCUGUCAAAGCACGCAGUUGAUCCUGGUCCUGAAGGAGAUAACAUAUAAGAACAAUACAAGUCUGAAUGCUAAUGGGCCAGUAAAAGAAAGGGAUCACGAAGCAUAAGUGAUUUUAAACUUAAUCUCACUUGAAAUUGACUCAGUAGCUGCUCAAAAUCUAACAGGAACUGUUCAUUUCGAGGUGGCAGAUCUCUAUUGAGAGCACUAAUGCGCUUCUGUGUCUUGUUCCUGUUUAUCAAUACAAAUUGUAUUUUAAAAAUCAAGUGAUAAAAGAAUGUUUUCAAAAGCACUAAAACACUAACUUAUGCCCUGAUGCUAGCUAGAAGCUCACAGGAUGGAAGAGGGUGAUUUACAAGUUCUCAUCCUUGCGAAAUUACCAUGCAAUAUUUGCAAGAUUAUACAUUACAGGAUAAAAUAAAAUUUCCUUAUGGCUACAUGCAAUAUGCUCAAUUUGCUAUAAUUCAAGUGAUAUAGAAAUAAAAGAAUGAGAGCGAUUUUAUAAUUCAAGUGAUAUAGAAAUAAAAGAAUAAGAGCGAUUUUAUAAUUCAAGUGAUAUAGAAAUAAAAGAAUAAGAGCGAUUUUCAGGGUCCAGUUUAAGUCUAUAAAAUAAUUGUGGAAAAAGUUGUCAGACUGAAGUAUUUAAUAAGUAAUUUUCACUUUCUUGCACAAUGAUUUCUAACCUAGAAUGCACCAGUUCCCUACCUUAAAAGCAUUUGCAGGCAAAUGAAACACUUAUAUUCUACUGCACAACAAAGUUUACCUAGAACAGACACCAAUUCCCUAUCUUAAAAGCAAUUUGCAGACAAAUGAAACACUUAAAUUUUACUGCACAACAAAGUUAAAUGAACUAAUAAAUCAAAAGUACUGAAAAAGAUGUCAGGCCAUAAACUAGAUGUCAAAUGCAAGUUAAUUAUUUGUAUAACAUAAGUAAUGAUAAGCCAAAUCUAUUCCAGUUCCGGUUAACUAGGGACAACUUUGACCACUUACUGGAGACCUUGCAUAUAAGAACAUCUCAAGUCUCCACCUAAUAUCAACCUCCUUGGUUUGCAGUAAAUAAAGUUGAUGAGAGAUGUUGAUGGCCACCAAACAGCAACCAGAGAAAUGUCUGAGAACCAUCAAAAAGAUAACAUGCUACAUGCUACCAAAUGAUGACUUUCACCUAUUUUUCUUUUUUCCCAACUCAACAACAAAUACAGCCUUUCACGAUACAGAGAGAGAGAGAGAAUCCUAUCCCUCUGUCAUACAUGUCUGAUCAUCCUUUUACACAUCAAACAAUCACAUCAUGUCUGGACUUGCCUAAAACCUGAGUCAACCAACCUUUCUAACUAGUACUGAGGCUUUUAUCUAUCAGCCAACCCUGCAUGCUUCCUUCCACUUUUACAUCUGGACUUAUCCACUUCCUGCAAAUGACUGAUGACUUCUAAACUAAAUUAGUCCACCUAAACAAUUAAUCCUCCAACCAAAACACAAAAGACUUGUAAAAAUUGAAACUUAGGCCCACAAAUGAGUCACAUCAAUGGCACAUCAACUCCUUUAUGAACCAAAAAUGAUCUUAACGAAAAGACAACUAUACAAAACAUGUCAAACCUAACAAAAAGAUUACAAGAAUCUAUAAAGAAAGGAAUUUUUUAUCACAUCUUAACAACACAUAGAAAAAAAAAACCCCAAAGGUUUACCUAAUUUUUCCUAUAACAAAUAAAUGAUGAAAUAAACACAAACUCCAAUCAGAAGAAACUACAUCCAAGGCAUGGAAUACAAUUAUUAUCAUGAUUUAACCAAGAGUUAGUUUUACAAAUAAAUAAUCAACCUACUUCAUUCCAUACAGCCCUCGAAAAUCAAAAUAACUUCCAUGUCAAACUUAUCAAAACCCAUGAUUGAAACAAAACUGCAUAAAAGAUUCUACAUACGGUGGUUCCCGGGCUGAUUCAUCCGAUUUUUGCUGUGCAGUUCUCUGCCAAUAAAAACCCACAACACAAAAAAUGAAUCAAACGCAAAUCGUGCUGCACCAUUGAAAACAGCAGAUAGUAAACAAAAAUCAUAGAUAAAAAACUGAACUUUAUACUAAUUUCUAUCUUUCCUGAGCUUUCUUUCUCUGACAACUAAAACACUCGACACAAGAAUGCAAUCAAACAUAAUUAAGCAAUACCACACAAAUCAGAACAUCAGUAAAGCAAGAAACAAUAUAAAAAACUUCAGCUUUCUACUGGUACUAUUUAUGGUUCCUGAGGUUUCUUUUUCUGCCAACAAAAGCCCAAAAUAUGAAAAUGCAAUGAAACAUCAAAUUACGCAAAACCAUAGAAAAUAAAGCAAAAAUACAGUAAGAAAACGGAAUAAAAAUUUGAACUUUAUAACAUUUAUGUUUUGUGGGAUUUUGUUAUCUUACUCCUAAGUAAAGAUUGAAAAGGUCGAGGAUGGCUGGUCUGGCAGGGUGAAAUUGAAGAGCCCUUGAAGUAGCAGACGUAGAAGAAGAACUGGGAUUGUUUCUUUGACCAUUCUGCAUCUGCUGCUGCUGUUGUAGCUGCUGGUGAUGGGCUGUGUUCUGGUCCAUCAUCAUACCACUGUCCGAGGUUGUUGGGGUCUGAUUCGAAACAUUCCCACCCCCAAGAGUUCUAAACAUGGUGGCUUUUCAAGAAUUUGUGUAUAUGUUUCUCUUUCUCUGCAAAAUUCAAAUGUUUAAUUAGCAAAAUGACCGACUUCUACAAGAGUUUACACAGAAUUUUACUCAUUCGUGUUUUUUUUUGGGGCUUUUUUGGUGGGAUUGGAGCUCGUGAAAGUGAUGGGUUUAACACCUGGUAAGGCUGGAACGGGAGAAAUUUUUUUGGCUAAUUAGACUUAGUGCCCCUGAGUCUUAACCAAACUACAAGUCAGAUGUUCAGGUAUCUCCAAAUUUCAUGCAUCUCCUGUUAGAGUGUACAAAAUAAGAAGGUUGAAAUUCCUGAAUGAGCAUUCGCUGAAGUAGUGAAUUGUCAAACUAUCUAAAGAAGGCCUAACUGGAAACCAAAAAAAAGAGUUAAUCAUAUUUACCUCCGUUAAAGUUUUAUUAUACUACAAGUUAGGCCUAAAGUUUGAUCAAAUUACAUAAAUUUCCUUAUCACAAUUGCCCUCCAUCUAGAGAAGGUAUAUACGAGCAAAAAAUUGUAGCUAGUAGGGAAUUUAAAUUUUUAACAAUAUAAAUGAAAAUAUAAAAUUGAAAGAAUGAGAGGCGUAGAGGAUUUAAAAAAAAAUACAAAUACCAAAACAAAGAAAGAAAAAUGAAAGAGGUGCUUAGUUCAUACUAAUAAAUUAGAUUCAUAUAUAAAAUAUCAGCAUGGGCUUUAUACAAGGAUUUUAUUCUAAUUAGUGCUUGGUAAUAUUCCUGAGAAUGGUUAUCAAAUUAAAUUGUUUCUUUUUUUUCUUUUGUUCAACUGAAUAAAAUCUUCAUGAUCAACUUCAACUCUGACAGGUAUUUAUCAAACUAGCAAAUAUGAAUAACCAAGGAGCAAUAAAUCUGAACAGCUAGUUGUAUGGUUUUUUUUUUUGUGUCGUAAUCGCACAUCUACUCUAAUCUAACAUACUCUUACUCCUAGGGGUGGCAAUUCGGGUCCAAAUCAGGUUGGCGAGUCGGGUCUGACCCGACCCGUCAGAAAAUUUGUUGACCCGAACCCGACCCGUCAACCCGUGAAGGGUCAGGUAUACUGAUCCGAACCCGAAAAUUUCAGGUUGACGGGUUGGCGGGUCGACCCAAAAUGACCCGAAACUUAAUUUUAAUUUAUUAAUUUAUCACUGUAAUUUCUAAUAAAAUUAAUUUCUCACAAAACUAAUUACAUAAUCAAGUAAUAAAAAUUUUAAUAAAUAAUUCUAAACCAAAUCUAAAAUAAAUUAAACACCGUAAAAGUGUUUUAUCCCAAACAAAAUAUAAAAUAAAUUAAAACAGUAUAAAAGUAAAAAAUAAUAUAAUAUAUUAUUUGUCCAAAUAUAAUAAUUUCAACUUCACACAAAUUAAAUAAAUUCAUUUAGGAUUAAGUAAUUAAUGCCUUUGAAAAAAAGAAUAACUUAGUUUAGUUAGAUAAAAUUAUUUUUAUGUUUAUUAAAUUAUUUUUAAUUCGUAAACGGGUCAUAUCAUGUCACCACGGGUUAACCCAAAAUCGACCUGUUUUCUUUUCGGGUUCAUCGGGUUCAACCCGAUUCUGACCCGAAUUCCCGAAACCUCAACCCAAACCCAUUAAUUUCGUGUUAGGUUUGUGUCGUGUUUUCAGGUCGUGUCGAAAAUUGCCACCCCUACUUACUCCUACCCCGGGGGGGAGGGGGGAAAAUCUACUAUAUGGGGUGGUCCAACUGAACCGAGGGAACAUGACGGGGACUGAACCACCAUCAGACUAAAUGGGUGCACCACAUAUCAGUAUGAAUUUAGAACCACCAUCUAAUUGUAACGUUUAAGCGUGAAUUAAUUGAUUUCUUGUUCCCCUUAGAAGAACAAUGGUUGUGGUGGGGAUUGGAAAUGUUUAGAAAAAAAGAAUAUGAGGAAAAGGUUAACAGGUGAAAAAGAAAGAUAUUUCAGUGAAAGUGAGGCAUAAAACGAGUAGUAUGAGAUGACUAGCAAUAGAAGGGAAGUGAGGUUAGGAGUGAGUGAAGAUGAGAGAUAGGGGAAAGAAAAGGUGAUAAUAGGAGGUAGAAGGUGGAUAGGAUUAGGCAGCAAUGGAGUAGAAAAGAGAUAAAACUGGAUGGAGGGGCAAGUAGUAGCAGUAGGAAGCCACAAAAAUGCAAAGAGGAUGGGAAAGAAAGAAAGAUGUUUUUAUUAAGAUUACUUUUUUCAAAUUUUAGAAUCAAAUUUGAGAUUCAUCAAAAUCUCUAAAGUGGGUGCUAAGAGGUGCUGGCUUUAUAGAUUUUAUUCUAAGAUUUUAAUACAUGUACCUAUUAGCCACGCAAUAAGUAUGAGAGUCAUUUUAAUUCUCAUUCCAAUAUUUUUCAAUGAAGUACCCCUAACAAGUUAAAAAAAUAAAGAACAAAACUCAAACAUAUGUUAAAAUAAAAAAUUUCUAAUUAUCAUAAUAAGGGUUAAAUACUCAAGAAUAAAUAUAGAGAAGGAGAAAAAAUCUUACAAACUGAGUAAACAAAAUAGAGAAACCACAAGAAGAAAGAAAAUAAUCACCUUUAAAACUAGAAGUGAAACUAAUAGGGAACUUAAACUCCACUCUGCAAUUAGAUUCUCACAACGCUAUUUCAUGACAAGUGAUGAUACAAACCCAAAAUUUGAAUCCUUGGAUCGAAUGUGGACAUUUGACGUGGCAUACAUGUCAGAAAAGUCAAAUCACACUCUUAAGUCUUUUUUUUUUUUUACUCCAUUUUCUCUUUGUUUCACUCUUCUCUGUCUUUUUUCACUGUAACUACUUCCCAAUUUCUCUUUUUUCCUCCUCUACCAUCUCUAUCACCAGUCAAUACUAUUUUCUUCCUAGAUAUACAAACUAGCUCUCCUACAUCCUAACGGAAGAUAUAGAAGGAGAUACUUAUUGAAUAAAGAAGAAGCACACAUAACUAAAUAGAAAUAGCUCAACAUUUAAACUAUCCAAAAAUCUCAAUUUUAUCAUGAAUCAAAUCUUCAUAUUUGUUUGACAAAUAAUUUUUUCAUUCCUACAUCUCGAAUUUGCAAACAAACCAACAAAAUCAUCUUUCUAAUACUAAUUUAAAAACCUUUUAUGGUAGUCAACCAGAAUCAAAGCCUUUAAUUAUUGUAAUUGUUUACGACAUUCUAGGCAAAAUAGGUUGAGGGCAAAAAAAUAGAAAGAGCCAUUGUUUAGGCAUUUUAGGAAGAAGUUUUACUGUUAUGAGUAAACUAGCUUAUGAUAUGAUAAAAGCGAAUUGAUGUCGGGAGAGAUCCGAAAAUUGGUAAGAGAAUUGAUAUGAAGGGAUGGCCAAGAAAAAUUAGAGUAAUUACUCAAUGAGUUGAUACCAUGGCUGCAGUUCAGGGAGAGAAUUAGGGUUUUGUUUGGAUUACCAAGUAUGUCAAAUACAAGUUUUUAUUUUUGGAGUCUACUGUAAUACAUUUCAAAACCACCCCCAAAAACACUUCAAAAAUGUAUAAUCUUAAAUAUAGCUAUCAAAAAAAUGAAAAAUAAAAUAAACCUACCACCUGUAUCUUCUUCUACCUACUACCUACUAUCCGCUUCAUCUUCUCCGCCACCACCAUUUCCCACUCCUCUCUUCUCCUUCUCUCUCUCUCUCUCUCUCUCUCUCUCUCUCUCUCUCUCUCCCUCCCUCCUCUUUCCUCUUCCUCCUCUUUCCUCUUCCUCAUUUCCUCAUUCCUUUUCCCUCAUCUCCUCUCUCCUUUUUUUCCCAUUCCCUUCCCUUACCUCCCCCUUUGAUUGUAGGUGGGUCGUAAUAGUCGUGGCCAGUGAUCAAAGGAGAAGGGAGAAGAGAGGAGUUAUAGAGAAGGGAAAGGAGGAAAGACGAGAAAAUGAGUAAGGAGGGGAGAGGCAGAUAAGGAGAAGGGAUGGUGGUGGUGAAUGAGGAAUAGAGGAAUGGUGAUGGUUGUUGUAGGAAAUUUUUAAAAAAUGCCAACAAUACCUAAUUCAAAUGGACCAUUUAUAGUAAAAAGUUUUAAAAUACAAUACUAUAAUAAAGUUUUUAAAAAAUAUCUCAAAAAUACUUAAUCCAUACGAAUCAUAGGUUGUGCUGCCAAUUGAGGUUGGUAAUGUUUUUAGAAUUGAAAAUUGCUAAAAUUAACUCAAGAAAGGGAUCAAAAAAGUUAUCUAUGUAGUGCCACAUCAAUUGGCUGUUAUAAUGUCCAAAUGACCCAUUUAGACUGUUUAUCAUUUUCCUUUCAUAAUUCAUCUUCCUCAAUUAUCAUCUUCUUAUAAUAAUAUUCCAUGCAAAUCUAGUUUUUGUUUUCCUUCUCCCUCCAUGCAAAUUCAAUUUUUGUGUUCAUCCUUCCUCCGCCAUCUAUAGGCACUUAAUAUAUUCACUUUUUAUGAUCAGUCAUACACAUACUAGAAAUAGCAAGAAAUUAUACGAAUAGAUGUUUAUGAAAAUUACUUAGAUUCACAAUUCCGUUUCAAUUUGCAAAUAGCAAUUUCUAGACUUUUUUACCUUUUGCAUAUGGACAUUGAUAGCUAAAUUUAUUGCAUUUCCCUUAUUUUUGGAAGACAAUAAGAUUGUAGUUUAGUCUUUGAUAUUUAAUGGAGUUAUUUUGUUCAAUUAUAUGAAAUAUGUUUUUAGUGUGUGGUGUUGAUUAAGAGAGAUUGCAAUUUGCACAUGAAGAUGGCCGAUGGUAUUCUGAUCUAGUUACUCGUAUUGUUAUUGAAUUAUUGUGAUGUUAGGUUUUCAUUAUAAUGAUAGUAAGGAAGAAGAUGAAGAUCACGAUUUAGAAUAAAGAGUCUAGGUGCAUAUAGCUUUUUAGGACUUCCAUUACUUCUCUAAUAUUAAGAAGUAAGAUUAAUGAUAAAAGCAAUAAGAAUAAAAUUGCAACAAAAAAAGAAAAUAAAAACAAUAGAUUUCAAAAAUAAAUUUGAUAAAAAGAAAGUUAAUAAGAAAAAAAGUCUCAAUUGUUGUUUCAUGAUUUAUUCUCCUUGAACACCAUUUUUCUCAUUCCUGUUUUCUUCAUUCUCUCUAUAUUUUCUCUAUUUUCUUUUUGUUCCUUUGUUUUCUUUUGCCCUUUCCACAAAUUAAUAAAUGAUUAGUUGCAAUUAUAGUAAACUCAAAUAGCAAGAGAUUAGAAAAUAAAUGAUCAAGGAACCAUUUGACACUCACAAUUUGAUUCUGAUUAUAGAAAAGCAAGUGAUAAUACCACAAUUUGUACAGCUCCAAUUUUAUUUUCAUAGCAAUUUAGGUUACAAUGCCUAUAUUGCCCUCAUAAAAGUAAACAUCAACUUAAGGGAUUGAUUGUUUCUCUUUCCUUUCCUUUCUUGUCGAUGAAAACAACAAUUCUUCUCGACAUUUUCUUUUAUUCCUUCACAACCGAUUUAUCUUCUUUCACAUACCCAUCACCACCACAUCAAUUUCCCUUCUCUCAUACUACCUCCGCUUUUCUUUCUUUUGAACUUUAUGCUCCUAGCCAAAUCUUCAUGGCUCCGUUUGAAUUAGUUAUUUUUGAAGGUGUUUUUGAAAUAUUUUACUAUGGUAAUGUAUGUGAAAAGCUUUUACUAUAGAUAUUUUUAAUGGUGUUUUUAGGGUGUUUUUGAAAUUUUUUUUUUGGAUAUUUUUAAGAUUUAAAAUUUUAAUGAGAUAUUUUUAAAAUUGCAUAAAACCUUACCACCACCCCUUCCCUCCUCCCUCCUCUUCCCUCUUUCUCUCCCAUAUUUUUUGGGAUAUUUGGGAUGUAUUUUGGGGUAUUUUUAUAAUUAAAAAUAUGUUUGGAUACUUUUUAAAAAAUUUACACCACUCACCACCACUAUCCAUCUCUACCACUGCCUCCCUCCUCCUCCUCCCUCUUCUUUCUCUCCCCUUCUUCCCUUUUCCCUCUCUUUCUCCUUUCUCCCCUCCCCCUUCUAUUCUUCCCUUCUUCUUCCUUCCUCUCUUUUUCCUUCCCCUUCUCCCGUCCCUACUAGACUCACCUGGAGAUUGUUGGCGCGACCUUCUAGGUCAUGACCAGAAAGGUCACGCCAAUAGUAGCGCUACCUUUUUGGUCGCGAUCAGAUCUGGUUGCGACCAGAAACUCAUGACUAGUGCAACCAAAAGGUCACAGCUAGAGCUGCUAUUGGUUCUUGGAAGACGAGAGGAGAGGGAGGAGGAGGAAGGAGAAGGAGGAAGGAGAAGGAGGAGGAGGAGAAGGAGAAGAGUAGGGAAGAAAGGAGAAAAAGGAAGGGGGAUGAGAGAGGAGGGGAGGAACAACGGUGGAGGUAAUAGUGAUGGUGAAGGAGAGAGAAGGGAGUGGUAGAUGGUGGUGGUGGGUGGUAGUGAUCGGAGGAAGAAGAAAAGGUGAUAGGAUUUAUUUGUUGUAAGUUGUAUUUGAAAUAUAAGGAGUGUUUUUUGGUGGUAUUUUUGGAGUGUGUUAUUGUAGAUUUGUAGAUAAAAAAUAAGUAUUUCAAAAACUCUCAAAUAUUUUUCCAAUUUAUGUUUCUAGGAAUAAAAAUUCUUGCAAGUUCAUAGUAAAUUUCUUUGAUCAAAUUAGAGUGAUGCCAUGGGCUUUUACAUUCUUUUGUGUUUUAGCUUGGGAUGAAAUUUUAUGAAUACAACUGAUAGCAAACAACUCGAUUCCCUAUGCACUUUGUUGGAAAGAAUGUCUUGCUUAAGUUUUCUUCAGGAAUCAGGCCCUUUUAUUUGAUUGCAAAGUCAAAGGUCUUGAAAGUUAAAUCUCCUAAUAUCUUUGUCCUGCUAGAAAUUUCUUUUGUAUAUGUGUCAAAAAAAAAAAAAACUUAGACGUGUUCCCUUUCAUUGAAACUAUGGUUUAGGGAGAAUGGUAUAUGAGACUUAUUCAUGGGCAGAGGAGAAGGGAUAGAGGCAUCAGCGUAUUGCAAGGUAGGAACUAGAAUAUGAGAAAAAGGGCAAAAAGAAAGAGAAAUAAAAAGGCAUGAAUGGCGGGAAUGUGCCUAUAGUGUGGUUGGUAGGGUACAUGCAAUUUGUGAGCUUUGUAUUGACUUUGAUAGGAUAUUAUGAGUAUUAAAGAUAAUAUUGCUAUGAAAAUAAAAUUGGAGAUGUGGCAUUAUCAAUUGCCUAAUACAAAUAACAGGAUCUUGUUCCUUUUUUAAUAGAUAUUAAUAGUUGAAUAUAUAGUUUUUUUUUUAGAGGUUUGUACUUUGGACUUAAUGUCUAAUAGAGUUCUUUUGUUAGAUAAAACAGGGUUUGGAAAUAAAGUCAUUAGCCUUUUUUUACUCGUUCAUUCUAGGUAUAAAUUUUUGGUAAUCGGACUAAAUUAAAAGAGAAUCACAAAAGGAAUAUUGAUGACAACCAGAUUUUAGUUGUCAUUAUUUGCUAUUAUGGUACUAGAGUGUUAACGGAGAAAUCAAAGAGAUCUGGCUAAGGUUUUAGGUAAAUGGUAUUUUGAAAUUUUUAAUACAUUUUAUCAACAUUAAUUGGUGAUAAGAAAUCAAUUUUAGUAGCUAAGAAUAAAGGUCUCUUUAUUAUAGAUUUGUGCAUUUGAAAACAAAUUUUGCUAUUUGAUUAAAUCUCAAGGUCGUACUUAUAGUUUGGCUAAAUUUGAGAGGAGGUAAAUAAUUAACCGCUCUUUUGAACGUCAAAUAACAAUAAUACUAAUUUACAUCUAUAGGUUGGAAAGAGAUAGUGGACUUAACGGGACCAUGGCCCGCAAAAACCAGAAGGAGAGAGCUUUUCUUAAGAUUUGAAAAGUAUACUAUUGCACACAAAUUUAACUUGUAAGCUAUAGCUACUCAAUGGGAAUUAAUGUGCAAAAGCUGUGGCAUUCAUGGGGAUUUAAUGUGCAAAAGGUGUGGAAUUCAACAUUAAUGUGCAAAAGUUUUGGUAUGGCAUAGAAUAGAGUAUGUAGAUUAGGGCAUUCGUUUCUUGACCUAUAGUUGAGGAAGUAUCCAAGUGAUAUCCUGGUGCUUUGGUUGGAUACUGUGAUUAAGGAAAGAAUUUAAGAUAUGGCUCUGUUUGGAUUAGUUAUUUUUCCCAUAAACUGUUUUUAUUUGUGGAAUCUCCAGUUAUAAAUACAAAAAAUAACUUUUAGAAUACACAAUUUCAAAUACAACUUACAAAAAAAGUAAAAGAUAAAAAUAAAUCCUACCACUUUUGGUUCUUUCACCUAUCACACGGCACCGCCGCUACCCCUUCCCUCCUCUCUCCUCCAUUCUUGCCAUCCUCCUCCGUUGCCAGUACCUUCUCCUUCUUUCUCCUUCCUCUCCCUCCUCUCCUAUCCCUCCUAUAUCAUUUCUCUUCUCGCUUCCAUUCUUUUCCCUUUUUCUACUAUUAUUUUCCCUUCUCUUCCCUUGUCGAUCCCUUCUCCCUUUUUCCCCUUCCCUUCUCCCAUUUUCCUAUUUUGGUCAUGACUAGAAAGAGAAGAAGAGGGGAAGAGGAUGGUGGGAAAAGAGAAUAAAAGGGGAAGAGGAAAGAGAUGGUAGUGGCGGAAGAGAGUAACGAUGGUAGAGAAGGAAGGAGAGAAGGGUGGAGGUUAUUUUAAAUAAAUUUACAAAAAUAUACAAAAAAUUUAAAAUUUUAAAAUAUUCCAAAAUAUAUUCUUAAAAACAUAGAAUCCAAAUGAACCAUUUACCGUAAAAGUUUUUCAUAUAUACCGUUACAGUAAAAUUUUUGAAAGGUACCACCAAAAACACAAUGCGAAAUCAGAUUUUAAUGUAAAAUAGUUUUUGAAAAAUACUUUCCCAAUUUUUGAAUGUUUGUUUGCAUUAGAAUUUAAGCGAGCAUUUUCUAAUGAAAAACUUUUUUUAUACCAUUUGCUAUAGAACAACUUUAGCAAAAAUGGUUUUCAUAUGGUUGUAUUGGCUAUUGGCCACAUCAAAACUCUUUUAAAAACAAAACUUUUUCAACUAUGCUUUAUUCUCUAAGUCUUUGAUCGUCCAAUUAUUUGGUAAGUGACUCGUUAUUGGCUAUUCCAUUCUCAGAGGCACAAUAGUGACUUUACCUCUUUUCAGUUGAGUACAGUGAGUUCAAAUUUUUCGAUAUAGCAUUGUUAUUUUUUCUUUCAUUCACAUUGACACACACAAUCUGGAGACAUGUCUCACCAGAAAAGGUAAAACAUUCGAAGAUAUCAAAGCUUUAGAUCCAGAAAGCAAGUCUUCCCUAGAGAUUACCUAGGAAAGAAGAGGCAAAAAACAUGAAAAGAAGAAAAGUUGUCUACAAUUCAAUUAGCUAUAAACAACUAUCUACAAGGAAGAAUUUGAUAUUUUCAAAUAUGACCAUUUUUUUUUGUGUACAAUUGUUUGAAGGGGUGACAAGAAUUUGUAGUCUUUAAUUGAACUUUCACAACAGAAAUACCAUAUUGAGGUUGUCUCUAGUUAUGGUGUGUUAGGGAGUGGAGAAUUGUAAAGGAACUCUAUACUCUUAAUGCUUUAUUAGUUCGAGGUAUUAAUUGCAACAUAUCCUUUAAACUAAUUCUAUUCUAUAAUUUAUCACUUAAAUUGUCAAAUGAUCUCUAUAUUUUAAUUUUUUUUGAAUUAUUAAUUAAAGUAUUUGCUACCUUAUACUUUAAAUUUAACACACAUUGAUCCAGUCAAGUUAGUUUAACAAUUUAUUUUUAACAAAAUACUAAUUUAAUUGGAGAAGAUAUCUGUUGUUGAUAGUACCCUUUAGUGGUGAUUUUUUUUCCCUUUUUCUUCAUUAAUUUCAUUGUUUUUUUUCCUUUUACCUAUUUAUAUUUCAACUAUGCUAUGACCAGCCAUUGAUAGAAAACCAAUAACGUCUAUUACUCUAUCAAAAUGAUUAAAUCACAUAAGGAAAUUGAAAAUUUUCUUCUUGACAAAAAGAACUCAUAAGAAUGUAAUGCAAACCAAAUGUCCAAAAUUCCAUGCUAAAAUCUCCUAACAAAAUCCAAUUAUAAUUUCUAUUUACACCAAAAAGAAAAACCCCGCUUUAAUAACACAAAAAAUAAUCAAGAAAAUCAAAAUUUCAAGGUAAAGGUUUGAACAAACAAAUCUAGGUAUAGAUAACAAAAGCAAGGAUUGGGAGACAGUAGAUGGAUACUGCUAUCAACAGGGGGCGAGAAAUAGGGUUUAAGGGGAUAUAAUUUUAGAACUCAAGAAAAAUUGCAAGAAUAGAAAAAAGAAAAAUUGUGAAAUAGUAUAUACUAGGUUUAGAGAAUGCUAUUAUAAAAGGUGAUUAGAGGGUAAAACAAUAAAAAAACCUAAGAGGGCACUUGGUUCAAAUGUAGGAAUCGAAAUUGUAAUUGGAAUCACGUCCAAAAAUUCUGUAUGGGGUUUGAUCAAAAGUAUCAUUAUAAUGACUAGUGUUGGGUAUAUAUUUAUAAGGUUUUGAAAUCAACUUAUUUUUCAUUUUCUUAUCUUUAUUUUUUUCUGCUUUCGCUUUUUCUACUUCCUUCUUCCUAGCCCUUAAGUAUUCAUGCUUCACCAAUUUCUCUUGAACCACUAUUUGACUAUCACCAAUCAACCUUGCAAUUUGUGGAGUAUGGAAGAACGACUGACAAGAGAUGAGAGAAAGACUUACACAAAAAGGAAAAAAAAAUUGAGAGGAGAGAGAACUAGAUGGAGAGAAGCGGCAACCAUGAAGUAUUGAAGGAAAGAGAAAAAGAGUGAAGAGAGAAUAAAAGGGAAAGUGAGACAGAUAUUAAUAAGAAAGGAGAGAAAUAACCAAGGUAGGGAGGGCUGCUGCUGCCAUUGAGGGUUGGAAGAGCGAGUGAAGAGAGAAGAAAGAGAGAAAAUGAUGAUAAUGAAAGCCUACUCUAGAAGAUGGGAUAAGAGAGAAAAGAUAAGAGAGAAAAUCUGAUACUAAAGUGCUGCUAUGAAGGUUGGGCCAACGUGAUAGAAUGAUGAAGACGACAUGUUUCUUUUUUUUUUUUUUUUUGAAAUCUUCGAGUCAAAUUUGAGAAUCCACCAAAACCCCCCAAUUUGUUGGGGAUUGAGAAUUCCCAAAUUUUAAUAAUUCACUCCAAGAUUUUGAAUCCAAUACAUGUAAUCCAAACAACAAGAAUUGGAACCUAAAAGAUCUAGAGAAUGUUAUAACUUCUCUCUCCUUCUCUUACAUCUAUUUGUCUGUGUCAUUUGCUGAUAUCCUUUUUAAGAUAUUUUUAGGAUAUACCCGCUUUAGAUUCUUAACUUAUUUCCCUCCAAUGAACUUUGUUGUUCUUUAACAAAUUGAGGAAAAUUUACAUAUGAAGAUUGAAGUAAUAACAAAUACUAUGUAUGCUUGACAUUUGAGUGUGUUUGGAUCACACAUUAUUUUUAUCUUAUUUACAUACAUUGACUUAUUUGCACCAUUAACAUAUUUUUCAAUCACUUUUUUAUCUCACAUACAUCAUAUCAAAAAAGUACUACAGUAUUUUUUCACAAAAUUAUCUCAAAUAAUUUACUAUCGGGGUCAACAUUUUUAUGCCCUCUUUUUUGUAUUUGUUUGGGUUUUGUUGUGUGUUUUUUUAUCUUUUAAAGGAAUUUGUUCUUUAAUCAUCCAUUUGACAUGAUAUGCACUAUAUAUAUUAUUUUUUAUUUCGAUUUUGUUAUAGAAAGAAAAAAAGUGAAAAAAAAGGAUGCAAUUUUUUCUUGAUUUAGUGUUGUUUUUCAUACAUUUUGCUUCACUUAAACCAAUUUUUUCCCAACUUUUCUAAUGUAAUCUUUCGUUAUAAACAAAUCUAAUUUUUGCCUUUUAAUCUCUCCUAAAUACUUGUACAUUAAGCAUUCAUUUCACUAAUCACCAUGGAAGUUUGGUCAAACGUCCUAGUCCACAAUCAAAGGUGCAAGAGGUAAACUGGUCAAUCAUUUCAUCACGAAACAUCCUCAAAACUUAAGCAAAACCUACAAAUAACCGUGUGGAUCGGAAAACCAUGCCCCACACCCUGCCAUUCAGACAGACAGGGGUUUAAAGUAAAACCCGUCAAAUGCAAAAUCCAAAAGUACUUUACUCUUGCGGUCCUCCAAGCCAAACAGGACAUUAAAGUUUCAGAAUUUCCAUCUGCUGAACCUGAGUCAUAUUUUGACAAAAAAAAAAAAAAAAGAACCUGAGUCAUAAGACAUAUUUAAUCUCAGCCAUCGGAUCUCUGACAUAAAAUCUUGAUCUGUCCAAAACAAACAGCUAAAAAAUAAAUUCAAAGCCAAAUUGGUUCCCCCUCGUCCUGCCUUCUCUCUUGCACACCCCUCACCUCCUUUCAGCAGAGCAGAGCAGAGCGGACCCCUUCACUCUAUCAGACGUUUCAGUCACCUCGAAAUAGUCACCUUCAUUUUCUUCAGUUCUAUGCUUUUGGGGGCUCAUGUGUCAUCCCAAGAUUGAAACUUUUGGGUUGAAUAAAAUGAAAUUAAUAAAGGGCCAAUCUUUUCUUCUUCUUCUUUUACUAAUUUCUGCUGUUUCAGCUGCUGGUGCUGCUGCUGCUGAAGGUUAGUGUCUUUCCUUCUUCCUACGUUAGUUCCACUGUAUUUUUUUUCCCUAGUCUUUCAUCUUUUCCAUCUCUCGGCUCAUUUUUUGCAUUUUUUUGGCUGAAAAACUAACUCUUUACUUGGUAUUGAUUGCUUCAUGCAUUACUCUAGUGGUGGUCUUCAGCUUGUAUUUUUUCCGGGCUGUUUUGUUUUAGCUAAUUUCAAGCUGGGAUAGUUUCUUUUUCAUUUUGUUUUCACGUUGCAGUUUUAGUUUUUUCAGUAGCAAUAUUAUGCUGUUCUAGUUUUAGUUUUUUUUUUUCCCUGUGCGCAAUAUGCUUGUAUGCGGGAGUGAGACCCUUUACCAAAAGGAUGUGUCUUGGUUAAGGUAAAGGUGUUAGGAAUAUAGCGUAAAGUUGAGAAGAAAGAUUUUAUAUCAGCUAGAAAAAAGUGCAAAAGUUGAUUAGCGUAAGCUUUGAAUUUUGUUUGAGGUAAGCAAUUCUAUUAAGCAUUUUUCUUGACAAAGUGGCUGUUUCUACGCUGAAAAUAGGGACUUUUCUAGAGAAAGAGAGAAUCUUUUCUUUGUUCUUCCCAAAGUAGGGUCUUUUCUGUGGAUUUUUUUUUAAAAAAUUUUUGGUGAAGCCCUCAAUCUGACGUGGACCAUCUACAGAACCUAAGCUAUUGCGGCCCAGCUCAUGUAGGUUUUUCUUUAAGAUACUCCUGCUGCCACAGAAAAAGAAAAAGUUAUAUUGGAGGACGAUUUCUUCCAUUAAGUUCCAACAAAUUUUUUAAAGAAUGUCAUUUUCUUGCUUGAUGUUUAACAUGUCGACAUGUGACAAGCUGACAAUGUUGUGAUGCAAUAUUUUAUAUUAUAUGUGCCCAUCAUUUAUCUGACAGUUUUUCCAUGCAUGUACUUCUUCCUAUGCUUGUUUAGAUCUUACAGAAGGUGCUUUGAAAAAUUUUCUAGUCUUUAAAUAUCCAUGGAGUAAUAUUAUUACAGUAAGAAUCUACUCUGGCUUUUUAUAGAAGCUACUUUUUCUUCCGCGAGAAAUUUGAUUCCUAAAAAAUUUUCAGCAGUAGCAUGCUGGACCAAUAUUCUUGCAGAGAGGCUUUGUAUCAAUUAGUUAGCAUUGUCUGUUUCCUAUCGAUUAUGACCUCUGGUGGUGUGGAAGGCCAUUGUGGGCUCCUAUAAGAGAGAACAUGUGGCAGUGGCAUAUAUUUGAAGCUUUGACCUAAUUGUAAAAGCAUACCUGUUGGAGAAACAAGUGAUUAAUGAAAAAGAGAAGUUGACAAAUAAAAGAACAAGAUAACAUAUCUUUGUAGGUAUAAGUUUAGCAAUUUGAAUAACCAGCAACAUUUUGCAAUUUAUGAUAAUGACAAUUGAAUACAGGGAUUAAAGAUACAUAUUUCCUUGUGUCCUUAUCUACUUCCUUAUGGCCCUGUUUUUGUUACAAAAUCUUAUAGUGAAUACAUAUCCGAAAUCUUGAAGGCGAUGGGGCUAUCGCUGCCCACCAAUCUUGUUUGUGCUUUGUAGUAUAGCUAAUUUUGAGUGUCCUUACCCAGCAAAAAUUGGUAGUUUGUUCCAUAUUGAUUUAGAGAUGAACUCUUCUAUUGUUAUCUAUCAUAUUUGUAAUCAAGACUAUUGAGUAGCUGGACUACAAAAUUGCUUGAACUUGAGGAGGAUCUUUGAUGUCAUUGGUUUAGCAAAUGAAAAAACCACAAUUGGUUUCAACUAUAGUUUCCGUAAAGACUGCGUGAUACCUUACAUUUAAGAUGAUUACGAUGGAAGUAAUAGCCCUUUGGUUUGUUGCCUUGAUUUAAUUUAUACAUUUAAUUUCUCACAAUCUUUUUCUCUUCUUGCUCUUGAUUCUGCCCUGCAACUCAUUGUGCCCCUUCACCAGCAGAUUCAGUUAAUAGAGGCCCUAGUGCUAUGAACCCAAAACCAAUAAUGCUAUCUGAUGCUGAUGGCUGAUUGUUUGCUAAAUUUCAUUUACUUCAUUUUUUGCCAGGGGUCUUUUUAGAAUUUUAGAAUGAUAGGAUGCAAUAAUGAUGCAAGAGGCAACUAAUUUAAAGUGACUGGUUCUUAUGAGGGGCUUUGCUGAGUCAAUGAUCAUUUGUGUCUCCCUAAACAGUCAUGAAUCAGGUGCUUUAUAUAGCAGAUUGAUUGUUCUUGUAUAUGAAGCAGAAAAACUUGCUCCGAUUUCCUGAAUUUCAAAUUUUUGAAUUAUAUUAACUAUGCGGUCUAAGAUGGUAUUUGGUUUCAAUUCUUUAUGACACUCAUGUUCGUUGGAGUUCCUCUGAGAAUUAGAAUAAUUUAUGCUCCAACUCUUGCUCAGCCAAUGCCUUUGCUAAACAUCUUAUUGUUUUUUGGGUCCUUGUCCUCCAGAUGGUUUCAUUGGUGUAAAUAUAGGUACAGACCUGUCUGACAUGCCUGACCCAACUCAGGUUGUGGCCCUUCUCAAGGCUCAGCAAAUCCGGCAUGUCAGGUUGUAUGAUGCUGACAGAGCUAUGUUACUCGCACUUGCUAAUACUGGAAUUCGUGUAACUGUAUCAGUACCAAAUGAUCAACUGUUGGGAAUUGGACAGUCAAAUGCCACAGCAGCCAAUUGGGUUUCCCGAAAUGUUAUUGCCCAUAUUCCUGCAACCAACAUCACUGCUAUAGCUGUUGGAUCUGAAGUUCUGACAACCCUUCCAAAUGCUGCCCCAGUCCUGGUUGCUGCAAUGAAUUUCAUCCAGUCUGCCCUAGUUGCUUCUAAUCUUGCUUCCCAGAUAAAAGUAUCCACCCCGCACUCUUCUUCCAUUAUUCUUGAUUCAUUCCCACCUUCUCAAGCAUUUUUCAACCGCACCUUGGAGCCAGUCAUGGUUCCCUUGCUCAAGUUUUUGCAGUCUACUGGCUCCUUCCUUAUGCUCAACGUUUACCCAUAUUAUGAUUAUGUACAAUCAAAUGGUGCGAUCCCGUUAGACUAUGCUUUGUUUCGUCCUCUUCCACCGACCAAGGAAGCUGUUGACCGUAACACUCUUCUGCAUUAUACUAAUGUUUUUGAUGCAGUAGUGGAUGCAGCAUAUUUUGCCAUGUCCUAUCUGAACUUCACCAAUAUUCCCAUAAUAAUCACUGAAUCUGGUUGGCCUUCAAAGGGUGACUCUUCUGAGCCAGAUGCCACUCUAGAUAAUGCUAAUACUUACAAUAGUAACCUUAUCAGGCAUGUUCUUAACAACACAGGGACUCCAAAACACCCUGGGAUUGCACUGAGCACCUACAUCUAUGAGCUAUACAAUGAAGAUCUGAGACCAGGGUCUAUUUCAGAGAAGAACUGGGGACUUUUUAAUGCCAAUGGUGUACCUGUUUAUAUCCUACACUUGACAGGUUCUGGGACUGUUCUUGCAAAUGACACCACGAAUCAGACUUACUGUGUUGCAAAGGAAGGAGCUGAUAAGAAGUUGCUGCAAGCAGCCCUCGAUUGGGCUUGUGGCCCUGGAAAAGUGGAUUGCAAUCCGUUAAUGCAAGGAAAUCCAUGUUAUGAUCCGGAUACUGUGGUAGCACAUGCAUCAUAUGCUUUUGAUGCCUAUUAUCACAAGAUGGGUAUGACAGAUGGAACCUGUGACUUCAAUGGGGUUGCUACCGUCACAACCUCGGAUCCCAGUAAGUAAUAAAUAUAUUGUUAUGCAUUGACUUGGUUUACCAAGAGACUUUUGACGCUUUGUUAUCUUAGUUACUGAGAUUGUGAGGUGCCACAAAGAAACAACUAAAAAAAAUUAAUCAAUAGCUAUGAAAUGGCAUUUCAAGGGGAGAUUUCUUUUCUUCUCCCUGAAAACACAGAUGCAAAUGGAGUAAAAGUCGUACUUUUUCUUUGAUUGGGAGUUCUUGGCUUUGCAUUUUAUGCAUACCUUCAUCUGAAUUAAGGUUUUUGCAUAAUCAGCUAUUGGACGACUCUAAUCCGCAGCUUGGAGAAGUUAGUGAAGUCAAUGGUGAAUGUAUUUACUGAGUACAAAGACGAAGAAAGAAAACAUACCAAGACUGAUUUCUUUAACUUUAAAUAAAGAAUCUUGUAGUUAAAUGUUCUAUGCACUCGUGUAGAUUAAAUGCUUAUACUCCUUGCUUGUAACAUCAUUUGUUGCAUUAUCAAAUACUAAUGUUCGUUCUGCUUGUGCAGGUCAUAAUUCAUGUAUAUUUCCAGGAAGGUAUGAAGCAUUGAGUUUGUAACUAUGGUUUUUGAGUUAGUCUACUAUCUCUGUAUUGCCAUCCAUAUUCUGUUAUUUAUGUGCAAAAGCUUCAUCUGAGAGUUUGUGUUUUCUUCUUGGUUUGUUAUGAAGUGGUGGGAGGAAUAGGACCACCACAAAUGGCACCUCUCUAGCUCCAUCGUCGAACUCCACGGUAUCUGGCUGCCAUUCACAAUAUUUAAACGAGAAAGGUGUCCUUUUUAACUCCAUAACACUUGGUCUUAUGCUCUGGGGUGUUGCUUUCUUGUAAAACAUUGAUCUCUUACUUUUUGCUGCUUUUGAACUACGUUGACACUUGAGAAACCUUUGGGUGGAAAACUGCUACAACUUCUGCCACACCCAAUUUUGGUCCUCUGAAUUGAGCUAGGGUUGGCAUUGGGAUCUGCUUGGAUUAUAUAGCUGGGCAAGUUGCUUUGAGGUGAGUGGUACAUUAACAUGUACAAAGAAGGCUUUGGGAUUAUUUCGAACCAUUGAUGUAAUUAGGUUAGAUUAGAGUCAAUUUGUACUCAAGGAUUGUAUUCUUUUAACCUGAAAAUGAAUUUGCCAUAGAGUUGUCUCGACUCUUCAUAUUGUCAUGUAUCAUCUUUUCUUUUUUAUUGGGCAGAAAGGUUGGUAGAAGUAAAUGACAUUGAGAUGUCUCCUUUGCUGCAAAUUGUUUCGAGUGGUCAAGUUUAUAAUGGCACUUGUUGGAUUUGAUCUUUCUUUGUUUCGUAGUUGUUAAUUUUACUCUUAAAUUGCAUUGAGGUGACGAAUUUUUACAAUAAGCAAUGGGAAUGUUGCAUCAGUGGUAAAUAUAACCAUUAUAUGAAACUAACGACUUUUUGCUAGAGAAUUCAAAGUCUGUGGAGGUAUUAUGCAGUAGAUGUAAUGCUUAUAAUCAACCAAACAAAUGAGUGGGAGUUCUCAGAUGCAAGUCUAAUCCAUAACAGUUAACACAUUUCAUCUCAUUGCUAAAAGUUCUAGUGCCCUUGUGAUGAUUAAUUCUCUAUAAAUCUUGCAUGACAAUCUAUACAUACAAAUCCUGAAGAGCCUACUAGGCUGCACUUUUGAUCUGCAUGUUGGCUACAGUAAGGUUUGUUGCAAAAACUACAUUUUGGUAGCUGAAGCCAGCAGCCUAGACAUAAUGCAUCCACACAAGCUGCCUCUACUGGAUCUUCAUCUUUGAUACAUAUGCCACAUUCUUCACACCUUGGGAUGCAGUGUUGGCAGCCCCUGCACUCAAGCUUCUGCUGCUGCCUCAUACUUUUGCAAGAAUCUCUAGGGCAGUCAAAAACCACUCUUGCUUCUUUACAUUUUGGGCAUAUUUCCACAUCAAUAGGAGGGUUUGAAUGUUUAAAU